Molecule: transfer RNA, 73 nt
Filed under: Ailuropoda melanoleuca (giant panda)
Lineage: Eukaryota; Metazoa; Chordata; Mammalia; Carnivora; Ursidae
Rfam family: tRNA
About the family: Transfer RNA (tRNA) molecules are approximately 80 nucleotides in length.
Source: Rfam by way of RNAcentral
GCCCGGCUGGCUCAGUCAGUAGAGCAUGGGACUCUUGAUCUUGGGAUUGUGAGUUCAAGUCCCACAUCGGGUG